Mytilus californianus (California mussel) is the source of this 1677-nucleotide long non-coding RNA. RefSeq lists it as uncharacterized. The transcript has 2 exons. The record is from RefSeq and is a predicted model, not a curated record. Lineage: Eukaryota; Metazoa; Mollusca; Bivalvia; Mytilida; Mytilidae.
UCAAUUAAAUGCAUAUUUCUAAUACCUUUCUCUGCAAAGUCAAUCAUACACUACAGGUUAAAAAGACCUUUAUGCUUUUUGCUACAACUAACAACCAAUAUUAAUCUGCAAGUAGCAUAUAUUGAUGUUUAUCUUCAGGACACUUUGGCAAACUAUAGUCAUCCAUGGCAACCAUGGAAAUCAUGUAAUCUUGUCAUAAUACCAUAGAUGCACAAUACUGAUAAAGUAACAGGCAAAUAAAUAGGUGCUCUAACAGAUUUUUAUGAAAUUUUGCAAGCAACUAGAGCAUUUGGAACCAUAUAUGAAUAUCACAAGAGUGCACACGCUGAAAUGUCUCGCCUUCUUUACUAACCAUUGAUUUUAUGUUGAUAGUCCUAAAUAUAAAGAUUUACUAAAAGUAACACAUAAACUUAACAUGAUCCAAGAAAAUGAGGUCAAGGUCAGAUAAACCAAACAAGAAAUACAUGUACACCUAACAAUCAUUCAAAAAACCAAACAUAGUUGACCUAUUGCUUAUAGUUUCUAAGAAACAGUCUUAACCAAGAAAACUUAACAUUGACCAAUGAACCAUGAAAAUGAGGUCAAGGUCAGAUGAACCAUGCCAGACAGACAUGUACACCUUAAAAUCAAUUUAUGCAUUAAAUAUAGUCAACCUAUUGCUUAUAGUAUAUAAGAAACAAACUUAACCAUGAAAACUUAACAUUGACCAAUGAACCAUGAAAAUGAGGUCAAGGUCAGAUGAUACCUGUCAGACAGACAUAUACACCUUACAAUCCUUCCAUACAACAAAUAUAGUUGAUCUAUUGCUUAUAGUUGAAGAAAAACAGACCAAAACACAAAAACUUAACACUGAGAAAUGAAUCGUGAAAAUGAGGUCAAGGUCAAAUAAAACCUGCGAGACUGACAUGUACAUCAUAAAAUAUUUCUAUACACCAAAUAUAGUUGACCUAUUGCAUAUAGUAUUAGAAAAAAAGACCAAAACUCAAAAACUAAACUUUGACCACUGAACCAUGAAAAUGAGGUCAAGGUCAGAUGACACCUGCCAGCUAGACAUGUACACCUUACAAUCAUUCCAUACACCAAAUAUAGUAGACCUAUUGCAUACAGUAUAAGAAAAACAGACCAAAACACAAAAACUUAACUAUAACCACUGAACCAUGAAAAUGAGGUCAAGGUCAGAUGACACCUGCCAGUUGGACAUGUACACCUUACAGUCCUUCCAUACACCGAAUAUACUAGACCUAUUGCUUAUAGUAUCUGAGAUAUGGACUUGACCACGAAAACUUAACCUUGUUCACUGAUCCAUGAAAUGAGGUCGAGGUCAAGUGAAAACUGUCUGACGGGCAUGAGGACCUUGCAAGGUACGCACAUACCAAAUAUAGUUAUCCUAUUACUUAUAAUAAGAGAGAAUUUAACAUUACAAAAAAUCUGAACUUUUUUUUCAAGUAGUCACUGAACCAUGAAAAUGAGGUCAAGGACAUUGGACAUGUGACUGACGGAAACUUCGUAACAUGAGGCAUCCAUAUACAAAGUAUGAAGCAUCCAGGUCUUCCAUCUUCUAAAAUAUAAAGCUUUUAAGAAGUUAGCUAACGACGCCGCUGCCGCUGCCGCCGCCACCGGAUCGCUAUCCCUAUGUCGAGUUUUCUGCGACAAAAGUCGCAGGCUCGACAAAAAUGU